RNAcentral lists this transfer RNA (68 nucleotides) under Marmota monax (woodchuck). RNAcentral describes it as "tRNA.Val". The record is from RNAcentral. Lineage: Eukaryota; Metazoa; Chordata; Mammalia; Rodentia; Sciuridae.
GUUGUAGCUCAGUUGUACAGCACUUGUCUCACACAGAUGAGGCCCUGGGUUCGAUCCUCAGCACUACA